GCUUACGGCCAUACCACCCUGAACACGCCCGAUCUCGUCCGAUCUCGGAGCUAAGCAGGGUCGGGCCUGGUUAGUACUGGAUGGGAGACCGCCUGGGAAUACCAGUUGCUGUAAGCU
RNAcentral lists this ribosomal RNA (117 nucleotides) under Larimichthys crocea (large yellow croaker). The record is from RNAcentral. Lineage: Eukaryota; Metazoa; Chordata; Actinopteri; Sciaenidae.